This 301-nucleotide ribosomal RNA is filed under the name uncultured bacterium. RNAcentral describes it as "partial 16S ribosomal RNA". It matches the Rfam family "Bacterial small subunit ribosomal RNA", at positions 509 to 807 of the family's 1533-position model. The record is from RNAcentral.
CAGCCGCCACGGGAAUACGGAGGGUGCAAGCGUUACUCGGAAUCACUGGGCGUAAAGGACGCGUAGGCGGAUUAUCAAGUCUCUUGUAAAAUCUAACGGCUUAACCGUUAAACUGCUUGGGAAACUGAUAAUCUAGAGUAAGGGAGAGGCAGAUGGAAUUCUUGGUGUAGGGGCAAAAUCCGUAGAUAUCAAGAAGAAUACCUAUUGCGAAGGCGAUCUGCUGGAACUUAACUGACGCUAAUGCGUGAAAGCGUGGGGAGCAAACAGGAUUAGAUACCCCGGUAGUCCCUGUCUCUUAUAC